This 432-nucleotide ribosomal RNA is filed under the name uncultured Candidatus Pelagibacter sp. RNAcentral describes it as "bacterial SSU rRNA". It matches the Rfam family "Bacterial small subunit ribosomal RNA", at positions 29 to 505 of the family's 1533-position model. The record is from RNAcentral. Lineage: Bacteria; Pseudomonadati; Pseudomonadota; Alphaproteobacteria; Candidatus Pelagibacterales; Candidatus Pelagibacteraceae.
AACGUACGCUGGCGGCACGCCUAACACAUGCAAGUCGAACGAAGUAGCAAUACUUAGUGGCAGACGGGUGAGUAACAUGUGGGUAUCUGCCCUUUGGCCUGGAAUAACACGAGGAAACUUGUGCUAAUACCGGAUAAGUCUUUACGGAGAAAGCUUUAUGCACCAUUGGAUGAGCCCGCACUUGAUUAGCUUGUUGGUGGGGUAAUGGCCCACCAAGGCGACGAUCUUUAGCUGGUCUGAGAGGAUGAUCAGUCACACUGGAACUGAGACACGGUCCAGACUCCUACGGGAGGCAGCAGUCGGGAAUAUUGGACAAUGGGGGAAACCCUGAUCCAGCCAUGCCGCGUGUGUGAAGAAGGCCCUAGGGUUGUAAAGCUCUUUCGUCGGGGAAGAAAAUGACUGUACCCGAAUAAGAAGGUCCGGCUAACUUCG